RNAcentral lists this ribosomal RNA (258 nucleotides) under uncultured bacterium. RNAcentral describes it as "partial 16S ribosomal RNA". The record is from RNAcentral.
CUGCUGCCUUCCGUAAGAGUUUGGGCCGUGUCUCAGUCCCAAUGUGGCCGUCCACCCUCUCAGGCCGGCUACUGAUCGCUGCCUUGGUGGGCCGUUACCCCGCCAACUAGCUAAUCAGACGCGGAUCCAUCGUAUACCACCGGAAUUUUUCACACUGCCCCAUGCGGAGCCGUGCGCUUAUGCGGUAUUAGCACCUAUUUCUAAGUGUUAUCCCCCGGUAUACGGCAGGUUAUCCACGCGUUACUCACCCGUCCGCCA